GACGAACGCUGGCGGCGUGCUUAACACAUGCAAGUCGAGCGGUAAGGCCCUUUCGGGGGUACGACGAGCGGCGAACGGGUGAGUAACACGUGGGUGACCUGCCCUUAGCUCUGGGAUAAGCCUGGGAAACUGGGUCUAAUACCGGAUAUGACUCCAUAACGCAUGUUGUGGGGUGGAAAGCCUUGUGCGGCUAGGGAUGGGCCCGCGGCCUAUCAGCUUGUUGGUGGGGUGAUGGCCUACCAAGGCGACGACGGGUAGCCGGCCUGAGAGGGCGACCGGCCACACUGGGACUGAGACACGGCCCAGACUCCUACGGGAGGCAGCAGUGGGGAA
RNAcentral lists this ribosomal RNA (333 nucleotides) under uncultured bacterium. Its description in RNAcentral is "bacterial SSU rRNA". It matches the Rfam family "Bacterial small subunit ribosomal RNA", at positions 28 to 361 of the family's 1533-position model. The record is from RNAcentral.